GUUUGAAAACCCUUUGGGGUGGGUGAGGGUUGAUGACUGGAGGGAUUGGCUUCCAAUGAUAGGACAGUGAGCCCACCAUGUCACUGGUGGUGUGGGACCCCUAAUUAUCAAUUUAUGGGGGUUCUCUGGGGCUGUUCUGUGUCUGCGAAGUCUUCUUUGAGCUACAGCCUGGAGUGUCAACAUCUGGAGGCUGACAGGUGGUCUUCUGCCCAGCCACCACUAAUGAAGCCUGGCCAACCCUGAUGGGAAAGAUGGAGUGAUGGAAGGAGAGACAAUCGCAGAAACCAGAAGUUGGUAAAAAUAAGUGGACAGCAGGGCCAGAGGCUCAAAUGUGAGGGGGGUGGUAAACAAAUGAUCAGAAGAUAGAUGUUAGGGAGGGAAUUAAGAGGCCAAAAAGAUAAAGGAAGAAGUCAAAAGUGCCCUUCCUCCAGGAAGCUUCUCCACCUGGAGAGAGGACCUGAAACAGUACCUGCUCUACAAAUACUAGAUGAAUGGAUGGACAAACAGAAAAGAUCAAGGCUGUUCUAUUAA
RNAcentral lists this long non-coding RNA (531 nucleotides) under Dasypus novemcinctus (nine-banded armadillo). RNAcentral describes it as "lncRNA (ENSDNOG00000050052.1)". The record is from RNAcentral. Lineage: Eukaryota; Metazoa; Chordata; Mammalia; Cingulata; Dasypodidae.